AUCCAGCUGACGAGUCCCAAAUAAAACGAAACGUGCGUCAAACUGGAU
Molecule: non-coding RNA, 48 nt
Organism: Schistosoma rodhaini
Lineage: Eukaryota; Metazoa; Platyhelminthes; Trematoda; Strigeidida; Schistosomatidae
Source: Rfam